AUGAGUCCAGCUUCAGUGCCAUGGAGCUCCCUAGUAUGCGGUACCCUCGGCUUUGUGCUUCUAUGGGAGGCUAGCCGGUUGGUAGAUUUGCUAUGGUGGCGCCCGUGGUGGCUUAAGCGUGCCUUGCGUGCCCAGGGUCUCUGCGGCACGUCUUACCGCUUCCUCGUCGGAGAUCUCAUCGACUACGGGCGGCGGGACAAGGAGGCACGAUCGAGGUCAAUGCCUCUGCGCUGUCACAACAUAGCCCCACUCUUCCCGCCGUUCCUCCACGACCUUGUCCGGGAGCAUGAAAAGACAUGUAUAUCUUCGUUGAGUGUGUUCCCCAAGGUCACCAUCAGCGACCCUGACUUAGCCAAGGAAGUGUUGUCGAACAAGUUCGGCCACUUCGAGAAGCUCAAGUUUCCGGCUCUGUCUAGGCAUCUUGCCCGAGGACUAGCGGCUUACGACGGCGAGAAAUGGGUCAAUCAUAGAAGGAUCCUUAACCCCGCAUUCCAUCUCGAGAAGCUCAAGCUCAUGAUGCCAGCCUUGUCUACAUGCUGCCAAGAGCUUGUCGGUAGAUGGACGUGA
Molecule: ribosomal RNA, 567 nt
Filed under: Triticum aestivum (bread wheat)
Lineage: Eukaryota; Viridiplantae; Streptophyta; Magnoliopsida; Poales; Poaceae
Description: partial small subunit ribosomal RNA
Source: RNAcentral